GGGGAAAGCCUUGUUGGCAGUCAGUUGAGAAACACCGCCGCGGGUACGGGAGUCGCAGGAAGUGAACGUCUACCUAGCCAUCAGCCCCGUCACCCCGUAGGCCUUCUGGGUGUAAUCUGCUGGCCGCGUCGCGUCGUGUCAAAUGGUGACGGUGGUGAUGGUGCUGAUGGUGAUGGUGAAGGCUAUGGUGAUGAUAACUGGACAGGCAAGGCUGGUGACGCGCUGCUGUUGCUACGACCUCGCUGCGGCACGCGACACAGAAACUUAAAUAUGUUGGCAAGCAGGGGCCAAAGCGUCCCCGUUACGAACUGAGAGCCAAUACGGUCUGUUCUCAUCUGUAAUCAAGGAAUCUCUGUA
This is a long non-coding RNA of Eriocheir sinensis (Chinese mitten crab), 357 nucleotides long. RefSeq lists it as uncharacterized. Lineage: Eukaryota; Metazoa; Arthropoda; Malacostraca; Decapoda; Varunidae. The record is from RefSeq and is a predicted model, not a curated record. The transcript has 4 exons.